ACACAUGCAAGUCGAGCGGAGACAGUGAGUAGCUUGCUAUGAGCUGUUUUAGCGGCGGACGGGUGAGUAACGCGUGAGCAACCUUUCCCAGACAGGGGAAUAACACACCGAAAGGUGUACUAAUACCGCAUAAGACCACGGGAUCACAUGGUUCUGGGGUAAAAGAUUUAUCGGUUUGGGGUGGGCUCGCGUCCGAUUAGGUAGUUGGUGAGGUAACGGCCCACCAAGCCGACGAUCGGUAGCCGACCUGAGAGGGUGAUCGGCCACAUUGGGACUGAGACACGGCCCAAACUCCUACGGGAGGCAGCAGUGGGGAAUAUUGGGCAAUGGGGGGAACCCUGACCCAGCAACGCCGCGUGGAGGAAGAAGGUUUUCGGAUCGUAAACUCCUGUCCUUGGAGACGAGUAGAAGACGGUAUCCAAGGAGGAAGCCCCGGCUAACUACGUGCCAGCAGCCGCGGUAAUACGUAGGGGGCAAGCGUUGUCCGGAAUAAUUGGGCGUAAAGGGCGCGUAGGCGGCUCGGUAAGUCUGGAGUGAAAGUCCUGCUUUUAAGGUGGGAAUUGCUUUGGAUACUGUCGGGCUUGAGUGCAGGAGAGGUUAGUGGAAUUCCCAGUGUAGCGGUGAAAUGCGUAGAGAUUGGGAGGAACACCAGUGGCGAAGGCGACUAACUGGACUGUAACUGACGCUGAGGCGCGAAAGUGUGGGGAGCAAACAGGAUUAGAUACCCUGGUAGUCCACACUGUAAACGAUGAAUGCUAGGUGUAGGGGGUAUCGACCCCUUCUGUGCCGCAGUCAACACAAUAAGCAUUCCGCCUGGGGAGUACGGCCGCAAGG
This 834-nucleotide ribosomal RNA is filed under the name uncultured bacterium. Its description in RNAcentral is "bacterial SSU rRNA". It matches the Rfam family "Bacterial small subunit ribosomal RNA", at positions 51 to 893 of the family's 1533-position model. The record is from RNAcentral.